This 463-nucleotide long non-coding RNA is filed under the name Brassica napus (rape). RNAcentral describes it as "long non-coding RNA (BNAP_LNC011012)". Lineage: Eukaryota; Viridiplantae; Streptophyta; Magnoliopsida; Brassicales; Brassicaceae. The record is from RNAcentral.
GAUGUGGGUAGGAGGAAUAAGAUCAGAAAGACUUCGCUUUAUUCUCUACUAGUAUUAAAAGUGAAGGAUCCUAGGUCGUGUUUACUCAAAACCAAAGGCAUAUAAUAUAUAUCCCACCCGUCUAUUUAUAUUUCAUAUUUUUUUUUAAGAAUGUAAAUAUCAUUGAAAAAUGAAUAGUUAAAUGUUACAAAUUGUAAGAAAAUAAUAAUUGAGGUACAAAUUAAUCCCAUGAAUCAAAUUACUCCGCCACUGAUUCUAUUAUGCCUUUAAUCUUUAGAGAAGAAGAAACAAUAUAUUCAUUAAAUGAAUCAAACUUUGGAUGCUUGAAAAGCAGAAAGAAAUACAAAGUGAUAAGAUAGCAGUUAGAGAAGGAAUAUUUAAAAAGGAGAAUGCAAUGGUGGCAUGGCCCGACCCGUAGGGCGUGAGAGAGUUAGUGAACUUGGUCUAUCGAGGGAGCGUCUCU